GCACUGCUGAGGAGUCCCAUACUAGGACGAAACGGCCGCCCAGUGU
RNAcentral lists this non-coding RNA (46 nucleotides) under Schistosoma haematobium. Lineage: Eukaryota; Metazoa; Platyhelminthes; Trematoda; Strigeidida; Schistosomatidae. The record is from RNAcentral.